Molecule: ribosomal RNA, 440 nt
Filed under: uncultured bacterium
Lineage: Bacteria
Description: partial 16S ribosomal RNA
Rfam family: Bacterial small subunit ribosomal RNA
Source: RNAcentral
CCUACGGGCGGCAGCAGUGGGGGAUAUUGCACAAUGGGGGGAACCCUGAUGCAGCGACGCCGCGUGGGUGAAGGAGCGUUUCGGCGCGUAAAGCCCUAUCGGCAGGGAAGAAGAUGACGGUACCUGGCCAAGAAGCCCCGGCUAACUACGUGCCAGCAGCCGCGGUAAUACGUAGGGGGCAAGCGUUAUCCGGAUUUACUGGGGGUAAAGGGGGCGGAGGCGGCAAUGCAAGGCAGGAGUGAAAGCCCGGGGCCCAACCCCGGGACUGCUCUUGGAACUGCAUGGCUGGAGUACAGGAGGGGAAGGUGGAAUUCCUAGUGUAGCGGUGAAAUGCGUAGAUAUUAGGAGGAACACCGGUGGCGAAGGCGGCCUGCUGGACUGUGACUGACGUUGAGGCCCGAAGGCGUGGGGAGCAAACAGGAUUAGAUACCCCAGUAGUC